RNAcentral lists this ribosomal RNA (1561 nucleotides) under Clostridioides difficile. RNAcentral's name for it is "partial 23S ribosomal RNA". It matches the Rfam family "Bacterial large subunit ribosomal RNA", at positions 314 to 1895 of the family's 2925-position model. The record is from RNAcentral. Lineage: Bacteria; Bacillati; Bacillota; Clostridia; Peptostreptococcales; Peptostreptococcaceae.
UAACGGAGAGGUAUCGUAAUUGAAGAGGUUUGGAAAGACCCACCACAGAAGGUAAUAGUCCUGUAUGUUAAACGAGAAGACUUUAGAUAUGAUCCAGAGUACCACGGGACACGUGAAACCCUGUGGGAAGCAGGAGGGACCACCCUCCAAGGCUAAAUACUACCUAGUGACCGAUAGCGUAUAGUACCGUGAGGGAAAGGUGAAAAGAACCCCGGGAGGGGAGUGAAAUAGAACCUGAAACCCUGCACUUACAAGCUGUGGAAGCACAUUUCUUGUGUGACCGCGUACUUUUUGUAGAACGGGCCAACGAGUUACGUUAAGUAGCAAGGUUAAGCACUUAAGGUGUGGAGCCGUAGCGAAAGCGAGUUUUAACUGAGCGUUCAGUUACUUGACGUAGACCCGAAACCGGGCGACCUACCCAUGAGCAGGAUGAAGCGAAAGUAAAAUUUCGUGGAGGUCCGAACCCACGAGCGUUGAAAAGCUCGGGGAUGACUUGUGGGUAGCGGUGAAAUUCCAAUCGAGCCCGGAGAUAGCUGGUUCUCCCCGAAAUAGCUUUAGGGCUAGCCUCAAGGUGAGAGAUACGGAGGUAGAGCACUGAAUGUCCUAGGGGGUAUUGCACCUACCGAAGACUAUCAAACUCCGAAUGCCGUCAUCUUAUACUUGGGAGUCAGACUGUGGGUGAUAAGAUUCAUAGUCGAAAGGGCAACAGCCCAGAUCGUCAGCUAAGGUCCCUAAAUGUAAGUUAAGUGGUAAAGGAUGUGGGAUUGCACAGACAACCAGGAUGUUGGCUUAGAAGCAGCCACUCAUUCAAAGAGUGCGUAAUAGCUCACUGGUCGAGUGAUCCUGCGCCGAAGAUUUCCGGGGCUAAAACUUACUACCGAAGCUACGGCAUCAGUAAUGAUGGGUAGGGGAGCUUCCCAUACGGGUUGAAGCAUGACCGUAAGGACAUGUGGACAGUAUGGGAGUGAGAAUGUUGGCAUGAGUAGCGAGAUGUGGGUGAGAAUCCCACAGGCCGUAAACCCAAGGUUUCCAGGGGAAGGUUCGUCCGCCCUGGGUUAGUCGGGACCUAAGCUGAGGCCGAAAGGCGUAGGUGAUGGACAACAGGUUGAUAUUCCUGUACUACCGAUAACCGUUUGAGAGAAGGGAUGACACAGUAGGAUAAGCUAAGCACACUGUUGGUUAUGUGUGCCCAAGCAUUGAGGCAGUCAAAGUAGGCAAAUCCGCUUUGAUAAUGCUGGGAUGUGAUGGGGAGCGAAAUUUAGUAGCGAAGUAGCUGAUUUCACACUGUCAAGAAAAGUCUCUAUCGAGGUUAAAGGUACCCGUACCGCAAACCGACACAGGUGGGUGAGGAGAGUAUCCUAAGGCCAGCGAGAGAACUGUUGUUAAGGAACUCGGCAAAAUGACCCCGUAACUUAGGGAUAAGGGGUGCCACCAUUAGGUGGCCGCAGAGAAUAGGCCCAAGCGACUGUUUACCAAAAACAUAGGUUUCUGCUAAGUCGCAAGACGAUGUAUAGGAGCUGACGCCUGCCCGGUGCUGGAAGGUUAAGGGGAUCUGUUAGAG